RNAcentral lists this ribosomal RNA (116 nucleotides) under Deltaproteobacteria bacterium. The record is from RNAcentral. Lineage: Bacteria; Pseudomonadati; Myxococcota; Myxococcia.
CGGCGCGUCAACAUCGGUCGCCAGUCGUCCUACCCGUUCCCAUCCCGAACACGGCAGUCAAGCCCUCCAGAGCCGAUGGUACUGCACGCCCUGCGUGUGGGAGAGUAGGUCGCUGC